GUUGUUCAUGAUGAUGUUUGUGAUUCGUCGGAAACGGUGGCGUUUUGGCCGGAAAUUUGAGAUAAGUUGUAACUGUUUGGUGAUGCUUAGAUUCCGGCGAUGGGUUGGUCGAUCGGAGGUGGGGAAUAACGAAAGAGGUUGAGCUCGUGGAGAGGAGUGGAUUGAUUACGGUGGUGCUGGCUAAAUCGCGGCGGAAACCGGUGAAUGACGGCACGGUUGGCGCGGCUGUUUUGGUUGUUUUUCCGGCGAUCUGUGGCUAAUCAACGGUGUCCGAUGCUUGGGGUUUGAUGGCCGGCGAUUUAUGAUCCGUUUAGUGGUGGUUGCGU
This 326-nucleotide long non-coding RNA is filed under the name Citrus sinensis (sweet orange). RNAcentral describes it as "long non-coding RNA (CSIN_LNC003147)". Lineage: Eukaryota; Viridiplantae; Streptophyta; Magnoliopsida; Sapindales; Rutaceae. The record is from RNAcentral.